AGGAAAACUACCAAUCAGCUAGAAAUAUUCUGUCCUGCAACCAAAUAUGGGAAAGAAGAACAGGACUUGCUGCAAAUGGUCUUGGAUGAAGUAAAAAAGGUCAGGGCAGUCCAGAUGUCAAGGGACAUCCUUUUUUAACAGGAGGCCAGAGGCAAGUAAUCAAGUUUACUUCAGUGGGCUUUGACCAGGACUGUAUUCACGAGAUUUUACUGUCUUUUCCUGGAUGAAUGAACUGGACUCCUGGAUAUGUGCAGGUUCUUUCUGUGACAGGGUUAGGAACUGCAAGCAGUAUGAUGUACAUCUUACAAGGAUGAAGGGAACAUAUUUGAUAAGAUGGGAACAAUAUCAGCUCAUGGACAUUAGUCGAAACCAGUUUGAGAACACUGUGGGUUUCACAAGUGGAUCUAAUAGCUGCCUUGCUCUGGAAGCUUUAACUGACAUCAAAGAAAAACAAGUCAAAAAGUCAAAUUUGGGAGGGGAGAACAGGGAGCAUGACUCUGGAGGACGCCAGGAAAUGGCUCUUGAAGUUAAAUGAGGCUGGAUAAAACACAUAAAUGAAGCAGAAGCUGCUCUGCAUGUGUUAGGACUCUAUCUCCAGAAGCACUGCUGAUCAGCC
RNAcentral lists this long non-coding RNA (616 nucleotides) under Apteryx owenii (little spotted kiwi). Its description in RNAcentral is "lncRNA (ENSAOWG00000006987.1)". The record is from RNAcentral. Lineage: Eukaryota; Metazoa; Chordata; Aves; Apterygiformes; Apterygidae.